GAAGAAAUAUGGGUUUCUAUGACAGUUGGAUAUAGCAAAAUUGAGAUUGGAGGGUGAAAACAAUGUCAUAAAUGCUAAAAAAGCGCGUUUUUUGUAGGAGAAGACGAAAUUUUUUUGGAUUUGAAAUUUUUAUGACAGUUUUUAUAAACAUUUAUUUUCUUUCUUUUCAUACACUUUACAUACUUUUCCUAAAUUUCAUCUUUUUCUCCAAGUACCCACAAAAACCCAAUCUUCUUCCCCUUCCCUAAUUCUUUCAACCUCAAACACUCUUAAACUCCCGUCACUCUCAAUUUCAUUGCAACUUCUUCAAUAACCCUAAUCAUGGCUGAAUGAGGAGGAAACUGCAACGGCUUUGGUAGAGGCUUCAGUAGUAGAGAUCGUGGUGGCGAUCAUGGUUGUGGACGCCAUCGUGUUGGCCGCAGUGACGAAAAGGAGAUUGUGGCUGCGACUGCUAUUCCCGUGGGCACAUUGUUCGUAUGGUUCUUGUUAUUUCGGUGACCUUGUCGUCCAUAUGGUUUCUGCUCCUUGUGGUACUGGUAUUGUUGCUGCUAGGGUUCCUAAGAAGGUGCUUCAAUUCGCUGUGUACAUAGCAAUGGUUAUGAUUACAAUUAGAUGCUAGUGUUAGUAGCAACCUUGGAUGAUUGUCUAGAACCUGAACCUGGAGACAUUGUUUGGGCCAAACAUACUGGUGAUCGCCUGAAGUAUGUAGGGUCUUCUAUAAAUGAUGAAGUUGAUAAGAGGUGACUUAAUAUUUUAUCUAAGUCUUAUCCAUAUUUGUAUUUCGUAGUCUGAUCUAUGGAGACGAAUAUAUUUGGUUAUAUAGUAGUUAAUGUUUUGUAUAUGUUCAAAUGAUGGUUGAAGUUUGGUUCUUGAAGUGAGUCAAUUCAAUAUUGAUAUUUGAUAAUGGAAACUGACAGUGAAUCAAAUGUUAACAGACCCAAACGUUAAAUAUGUAUCCAGAUGAACUAGUUGUGGUCUGUUUA
Long non-coding RNA from Cucumis melo (muskmelon), 983 nucleotides. RefSeq lists it as uncharacterized. The record is from RefSeq and is a predicted model, not a curated record. NCBI's taxonomy places the organism in Eukaryota, Viridiplantae, Streptophyta, Magnoliopsida, Cucurbitales, Cucurbitaceae. The transcript is spliced from 3 exons.